RNAcentral lists this ribosomal RNA (448 nucleotides) under uncultured bacterium. Its description in RNAcentral is "bacterial SSU rRNA". It matches the Rfam family "Bacterial small subunit ribosomal RNA", at positions 355 to 825 of the family's 1533-position model. The record is from RNAcentral.
UGGGGAAUCUUGCGCAAUGGGCGAAAGCCUGACGCAGCCAUGCCGCGUGAAUGAUGAAGGUCUUAGGAUUGUAAAGUUCUUUCGCUCGUGACGAUGAUGACGGUAACAAGAGAAGAAGCCCCGGCUAACUUCGUGCCAGCAGCCGCGGUAAUACGAAGGGGGCUAGCGUUGUUCGGAAUUACUGGGCGUAAAGCGCGCGUAAGCGGCUUUGCAAGCCAGAGGUGAAAUGCCUGAGCUCAACUUAGGAAUUGCCUUUGGGACUGCGAGGCUUCGAGGACUGGAGAGGUGAGUGGAAUUCCCAGUGUAGAGGUGAAAUUCGUAGAUAUUGGGAAGAACACCAGUGGCGAAGGCGGCUCACUGGCCAGUUUCUGACGCUAAAGUGCGAAAGCGUGGGGAUCAAACAGGAUUAGAUACCCCGGUAGUCCCUGAGCGGGCUGGCAAGGCGCAU